GACGAACCGUGCGAACGUUGUUCGGAAUCACUGGGCUUAAAGGGCGCGUAGGCGGGCGGCCAAGUCAGGGGUGAAAUCUUUCGGCUCAACCGGAAAAGUGCCUCUGAUACUGGUCGCCUCGAGGGAGGUAGGGGUCUGCGGAACUUCCGGUGGAGCGGUGAAAUGCGUAGAUAUCGGAAGGAACGCCGGUGGCGAAAGCGGCGGACUGGACCUCUUCUGACGCUGAGGCGCGAAAGCCAGGGGAGCAAACGGG
This 253-nucleotide ribosomal RNA is filed under the name uncultured bacterium. RNAcentral's name for it is "partial 16S ribosomal RNA". It matches the Rfam family "Bacterial small subunit ribosomal RNA", at positions 524 to 776 of the family's 1533-position model. The record is from RNAcentral.